This 315-nucleotide long non-coding RNA is filed under the name Gossypium barbadense (sea-island cotton). RNAcentral's name for it is "long non-coding RNA (GBAR_LNC021018)". Lineage: Eukaryota; Viridiplantae; Streptophyta; Magnoliopsida; Malvales; Malvaceae. The record is from RNAcentral.
GAGAUGGUGAAUUUAACAGAAGUAAUAUAGUUGAUGUCAGUAUUCAUGUCUGUAGAAGAAAUGAUUAGAAGAGUUAAUUAUAACAAGAGAAAUGGAAAUAAGGUACAAUUCACUGCGUUAAAAACAGUACCUUUUCGUUGAACAAAACUCCACCAGUAGGGUUAUCUUUGUCGAUAGAUUUAUGGAUGAAUGCCUUCAAGUCUGGACUGUUUUCUAUCUCAAGAAUCUUUAAGGCUGGGAAGUCAACAGUAUAAUCUUCAUAGAAAAAUCCAAUGAGUUUCUGAAGAUCUUUCAAUUUGAGGGAGUUCAAUCGAG